Bos taurus (domestic cattle) is the source of this 72-nucleotide non-coding RNA. NCBI's taxonomy places the organism in Eukaryota, Metazoa, Chordata, Mammalia, Artiodactyla, Bovidae. The record is from Rfam.
UCCCUGGUGGCUCAAAGGGUACAGGGUCUGCCUGCAAUGCAGGAGACCCAGGUUCAAUGCCUGGGUUGGGAA